GACGAACGCUGGCGGCGUGCUUAACACAUGCAAGUCGAGCGAUGAAGCACCUUCGGGUGUGAAUUAGCGGCGAACGGGUGAGGAACACGUGAGAAAUCUGCCUUCAACACUGGGAUAACUCCGGGAAACCGGGGCUAAUACCGGAUAUGAAACCUGCGGGCAUCCGCGGGUUUGGAAAGUUUUUCGGUUGAAGAUGAUCUCGCGGCCUAUCAGCUUGUUGGUGAGGUAAUGGCUCACCAAGGCGACGACGGGUAGCCGGCCUGAGAGGGCGACCGGCCACACUGGGACUGAGACACGGCCCAGACUCCUACGGGAGGCAGCAGUGGGGAAUAUUGGGCAAUGGAGGCAACCCUGAUCCAGCAAUGCCGCGUGAGUGAAGAAGG
RNAcentral lists this ribosomal RNA (383 nucleotides) under uncultured bacterium. RNAcentral's name for it is "bacterial SSU rRNA". It matches the Rfam family "Bacterial small subunit ribosomal RNA", at positions 28 to 414 of the family's 1533-position model. The record is from RNAcentral.